GAAAGCAUCUAAGCAUGAAGCCCCCCUCAAGAUGAGAUUUCCCAACUUCGGUUAUAAGAUCCCUCAAAGAUGAUGAGGUUAAUAGGUUCGAGGUGGAAGCGUAGCGAUACGUGGAGCUGACGAAUACUAAUCGAUCGAAGACUUAAUCAAUUU
RNAcentral lists this ribosomal RNA (153 nucleotides) under Staphylococcus agnetis. RNAcentral describes it as "partial 23S ribosomal RNA". It matches the Rfam family "Bacterial large subunit ribosomal RNA", at positions 2773 to 2925 of the family's 2925-position model. The record is from RNAcentral. Lineage: Bacteria; Bacillati; Bacillota; Bacilli; Caryophanales; Staphylococcaceae.